Long non-coding RNA from Sebastes umbrosus (honeycomb rockfish), 224 nucleotides. RefSeq lists it as uncharacterized. The record is from RefSeq and is a predicted model, not a curated record. The transcript is spliced from 3 exons. NCBI's taxonomy places the organism in Eukaryota, Metazoa, Chordata, Actinopteri, Perciformes, Sebastidae.
AGUAAUAUACUACAGGGAUGUCACGAGAACCGAUACUUCGGUACCAAGUCGAUGCCAAAAUUCUAAAAACGAGACGGUACUUGUUUUCUAAAGUACCGAAGGUACCGUACGAUGCCUGCAGGGUACAAAAUGAACUCCUGCCAAGCGCCAAAUGCGACUGCUUCUGUCCUCAGCUCUCUGUCGGAGUUUGACACACACACACAACAGCGCCAUGCAGCAGCGAG